GAAAUGACAAGAAUGUGCACCAAAUUUCUCAGAAAAGUGAUUCAGAUCAUGAUCCCACAGAAUUAUUUUUCUGUCUUUCCCGCCUCCAGUUAAUAACAUACCAUUUCUCAUCUGACAAAGUGUGAACACACUGCCAUCAUGAGCUUUGAUUUGUUUGCUGAUCUGAUAAACACCUAAUAUGAUGAGGAGUAAAAUAAGAACGUGAGUGAUAACAUUUUCCAUCAGAUUUUAGAGUCUUUUUGGAAGAAAACUUUAGCAGAACUGUAGAGUGAUUGCUGAAUGACUCAACAAUCAAAAACCUAUUUUCAGCAAGUCUUCUGCAAGGCAGGUAGUAAAGCUUUAAUACAACCUUUUGCAUUUAUGUCAAUAAUCAGUUACUCUGAAAAUAUUUCAAAAUACAUUCUUACAAAAAGGUAGACUAAAGCAGUGAUAAUUCCACAGACAACAGAGGGUAUAUUAACCUCAGAACUUUACUACCUUUUAUAAUCAUCUGACAUGGUAGUUAGGGUAGGUAUUAUUACUCUUCUGAUUUUAGAACUAAGGUAUAGAAUUGGCUUAGCCAAUACCACACAGUUAGCUACUGACAAAGCUGUGACUAGGACUCAGUCUCUUUACUCAAUGUUCUUUUAUGUUUGCAAAAAAAGCCUUCAUUUCCUCUCGAGGCAACAGUCAUAAUAUUUAACAUUUAACCACUGCUGAACUGGAGGACUUCUGCUCUGUCAGGGAUAAUAACCCCUUUUAUUUGCUGAGAUACUGGGGAAGGUGUGGGGCAGAAGAGGCACUGGCAGCUUGCAGCAGUGGCUUUUGACCAACCAGAAAAGUAUUUUAAAAACUGAUCCAGUCACACCAAUGUGAUAGCUGAAUGACAGCCCAGUUUUCUUGUAUGCUCUCAGCACUUCACAAGUACCCAGGAAGGGACAAGGCAGGUAUGAAAAUAUAAUCAGAGCCUCUUUCUUAAAGGUGAACAUAAGAUUUCAUGAUGCCUUACUCAGAGAAGCUCUUCAUUCAGCUAGUGAAGCUGCUAGAGUAAGAGAAAAACUUUUUAGAAGAUGAGAGCUUGCAGAAUUAGUUACCAGGUUCAAAAUGGCAAGGUAGAACCUGGUUUAAGUAUGACCAAAGUCAGUUAAUAAAUACACCUUAGAUCCCUUGGAAAUGAAAAAAAUUACAAGUUUAAAAAUUUUUCAGUGGGGGCUUCCCCCCCACUGAACAACGGGAGAGGCCACAACAGUGAGAGGCCCACGUACCGCAAAAAAAAAAAAAAAAAAAAAAUUGUUCAGUGGGGGGCUUCCCCAGUGGCGCAGUGGAUAAGAAUCUGCCUGCCAAUGCAGGGGACAAAGGUUCGAUCCCUGGCCCAGGAAGAUCCCACAUGACGCAGAGCAACUAAGCCUGUGCACCACAACUACUGAGCCUGUGCUCUAGAGCCCAUGCUCCACAACAAAAGAAGCCACUGCAGUGAGAAGCCCGCUCAUCACAACGAAUAGUAGCCUCCACUCGCCGCAACUAGAGAAAGCCCGUGCGCAGCAAUGAAGACCCAACGCAGCCAAAAAUAAAUAAAUAAAUAAAAAUUGAUAAUAAUAAUAAAAAAGUUCAGUGGGGAAAUGGGUGAAGGUGGUUAAAGGUACAAAUUUCCAGUUAUAAGAUAAAUAAGUUUUGGGAAUUUAAUGCACAGCAUGGUGACUAUAGUUAACAAUACUGUAUUGUACAUUUGAAAAAAGUUGCUAAGGUAGUGCAUCGUAAAAGUUCUCAGAACAAGAGAAAAACCUCCACUGUAUGAGGUGAUGGUUGUUAACUAAACUUAUUGUGGCAAUCAUUUUAAAAUAUAUACAUAUAUCAGAGACUUCCCUGGUGGCGCAGUGGUUAAGAAUCCGCCUGCCAGUGCAGGGGACAUGGGUUUGAUCCCCAGUCUGGGAAGAUCCCACAUGCUGCGGAGCAACUAAGCCCGAGUGCCACAACCACUGAGCCUGCGCUCUAGAGCCUGUGAGUCAAAACUACUGAGCCCACGUGCCACAACUACUGAAGCCCUUGUGCCUAGAGCCCGUGCUCCGCAACAAGAGAAGCCACUGCAACGAGAAGCCCACAUACCACAACAAAGACCCAACACAGCCAAAACUAAAUUAAAAAAAAAGGUAUUAAAAAAAAUGUGAACUGUAAAAAAAAAAAUUAAAAAAUAUAUAUAU
Lagenorhynchus albirostris (white-beaked dolphin) is the source of this 2177-nucleotide long non-coding RNA. RefSeq lists it as uncharacterized. The record is from RefSeq and is a predicted model, not a curated record. The transcript is spliced from 2 exons. Lineage: Eukaryota; Metazoa; Chordata; Mammalia; Artiodactyla; Delphinidae.